GUUAAAGACAAUUUAUGUUGAUUUAUUGAUAUUAUGAUAUGAUAAUAAGUAGGUCAAUUGAAAUAAUUGAACGUCGUACAAGUAUUUAGUAUUUUUUUUUAAUUAUAGAAUAACAACUGAACACAGGUGUAUUAAAUAUGAAAAAUCUUAAUUAAUUUUUUUUAUUGUCAAAAAAUAAUUAGAAGAGAAUGGAAAUGUAAUAAUCAUACAAGCAUAACAUUACUCACGUGCAGAGGCUGUUAGUUUCAUUGAAGCUAUGAAUAUAAAAAGUGUAAUAAAUGAAACUGGACCAUUAGGAAAAUCAAUUUUUAAAAGUUACACUAAUUCCACCCCACACCAGUUCCCAAGGAACCACAGGGAUCAAAUUUUUAUAUCAAGAGCUGUUGCUGAUGCUGGAUUAAAAAUUAAUCCCAAACUGAGUGUGACUGAUAUAAUCAUGAUGUAUAAAAAAAUUUGUGAUACAUUUGUUGAUAAAAAGCCGGAAGCUUACUUUCAAAAAUCGCCUGAGGGUGGUUAUUCUGGUUCUUUAUGGAACUGUGUUGAAAAUAAAAAGCAAGAGAUAUCAAACAUCAGGAAAUCGAUAGAACCAAUAAUAGCUGAAGAACAACCUGAUGAAGAUGUACUAUCAAAUAAAAACUUCAUUGAUGAAAAUACGUGUGAACCUUGGGAUCGAGUUGAGAGAGCUUGAACAGUAACACGAUUUCUACGUAAAAAAGAUUUGCAAUCAAAUUAAUUACCUAAAAAAAGAGAAAAACGUAAGCCAGCCCUGGUGGAAAUAAUUUCUCCGUAAAACUCCGGAAAAACUCCGUAAAAUUCCGGAAACACUCCGUAAAAUUCCGAAAAACUCCGUAAAAGUCCGGAAACACUCCGUAAAAGUCCGGAAAUACUCCGUAAAAUUCCGGAAUUGGCCCAUUAAAAUUUUUCGGUCAUUUUUUUUCCUUCAUUUUACACAGGAAUUCGAGUAUUUUGGAAUUGCAACCGAUUUUUCGUAUUUUUUCGAAUUUUUUCUAAGUGGGCCAAUUCCGGAAUAAUCCGGAGCAAUUCCGGAGCAAUCCGGAGAAAUUCCGGAGAAAUAUUUCCACCAGGGAGGUGAUUUUCUUCCAGAAGAAGAUUUUUUCAAUAAAAGCCUAGCUUAAAAUAUCCAUCUGGAUACCAACUCAUUAAGCUUGAUUUUUAUGCCUAGUAUCCUGAUGCUUGUAAUUUUACAAUUGAAAAGCUAGACCAGCUCAUUCACAAACUAGAAGUUAUAAGAUCACAGAAAAAUGAAAGCGAACAACUUAAAUGGGCACAAGAUAUAAAUGAAUUGAAAAAAUCAAUCAUUUCAAGAACAAAAAAUGUAGACAUAAAAAAUGCAUCAAAAAUAAAAAUGCUAAGUUUUCUCAUGCCACCACAUGGUAGAGCAAACAGGAAAAAAAACAACAGUUGUCGAUGUGCACAAAAGCAUGAUUUUUCACGUUCAGACUGCUGAUGCUGUUGAUGAAGCAAUCAGUGCAAGAUCUCAAUAUUAAAAAAGUAUAAACAAAGAUUUACAAUCAAUUUUGGUUGUCGUUGGUGUUGAUUGGAAUCAUUUGAAAGAAUACAUUUGCUGCAUCAACAAUGUGAGAUGGAAAUUUCCAGAUUUUUUGACUAGAUUGGACGUUGUUUUUAAAUCCUUCUAUGCACUAGACAUGAAAUACCCUUAUGAAAGUGAGGUUCAUUGGGGUGUUAUUCAGAGUUUGAUGUAUGAAAUACCAAGUCAAGUACAUUCAGAAGCCAUCGGUAUUAUAGGAAAUAUAUCUAGUACUCCUGAUGCACGAGAAAUCAUAUAUAGACUUGAUCGUGAUGAAGAUGAGAUUGAACAAGACAUUAAAAACCAAAUUAGAGAAGUACCAAACGUUCAAGACCAUGAAGACCAAGAAAAUGAAAAUGACUAAAGUAAAAAAAGAACCAGACGUUAAAGAUUGAUGAUAUUUUUAUCUAGCUGGAUCAUUAUAUAUGAAGAUAUAUAACUACAUUUUAUGUCACAGAAAAAUCAGUUUUCAAAGAUAAUGAUUGUUCCGGGUCGAACCACAUGUCUGUCGGUCCCAGACUGACCAGAUUUUUAUUCUUUUUAUUUUUUAAACUCUAUACAAUAAGUUGAUAAGUUUUAAACAUUACUCUGUUUUUUAUGGCUAGAUCACGAGAUCAUACAAUUUCAAAUAACAUAUGACUAACAAUUUUGGUUUAUAUUUUUUCUAAAAUAUUUUAAACAACGA
Aphidius gifuensis is the source of this 2234-nucleotide long non-coding RNA. RefSeq lists it as uncharacterized. NCBI's taxonomy places the organism in Eukaryota, Metazoa, Arthropoda, Insecta, Hymenoptera, Braconidae. The transcript has 4 exons. The record is from RefSeq and is a predicted model, not a curated record.